AACGAACGCUGGCGGCAUGCCUAACACAUGCAAGUCGAACGAGACCUUCGGGUCUAGUGGCGCACGGGUGCGUAACGCGUGGGAAUCUGCCCUUCGGUUGGGAAUAACACAGAGAAAUUUGUGCUAAUACCUUAUAAUGUCUUCGGACCAAAGAUUUAUCGCCGAGGGAUGAGCCCGCGUAGGAUUAGCUAGUUGGUGGGGUAAUGGCCUACCAAGGCGACGAUCCUUAGCUGGUCUGAGAGGAUGAUCAGCCACACUGGGACUGAGACACGGCCCAGACUCCCACGGGAGGCAGCAGUGGGGAAUAUUGGACAAUGGGCGAAAGCCUGAUCCAGCAAUGCCGCGUGAGUGAUGAAGGCCUUAGGGUUGUAAAGCUCUUUUACCCGGGAUGAUAAUGACAGUACCGGGAGAAUAAGCUCCGGCUAACUCCGUGCCAGCCGCCGCCGUAA
RNAcentral lists this ribosomal RNA (449 nucleotides) under uncultured bacterium. RNAcentral's name for it is "partial 16S ribosomal RNA". It matches the Rfam family "Bacterial small subunit ribosomal RNA", at positions 29 to 523 of the family's 1533-position model. The record is from RNAcentral.